GAGGGUAUAGCUCAGUGGUAGAGUAUGUGUUUAGCAUGCACAAGGUCCUGGGUUCAAUCCCCAGUACCUCCA
RNAcentral lists this transfer RNA (72 nucleotides) under Camelus bactrianus (Bactrian camel). It matches the Rfam family "tRNA". Rfam says of the family: Transfer RNA (tRNA) molecules are approximately 80 nucleotides in length. Their secondary structure includes four short double-helical elements and three loops (D, anti-codon, and T loops). Further hydrogen bonds mediate the characteristic L-shaped molecular structure. tRNAs have two regions of fundamental functional importance: the anti-codon, which is responsible for specific mRNA codon recognition, and the 3' end, to which the tRNAs corresponding amino acid is attached (by aminoacyl-tRNA synthetases). tRNAs cope with the degeneracy of the genetic code in two manners: having more than one tRNA (with a specific anti-codon) for a particular amino acid; and 'wobble' base-pairing, i.e. permitting non-standard base-pairing at the 3rd anti-codon position. Lineage: Eukaryota; Metazoa; Chordata; Mammalia; Artiodactyla; Camelidae. RNAcentral also lists the same sequence under 2 other names. The record is from Rfam by way of RNAcentral.